GCCCACAUAGCUCAGGCGGUAGAGCACCUCCUUGGUAAGGAGGAGGUCAUCGGUUCAAGUCCGAUUGUGGGCU
RNAcentral lists this transfer RNA (73 nucleotides) under Pseudomonadota bacterium. RNAcentral describes it as "Proteobacteria bacterium tRNA-Thr". It matches the Rfam family "tRNA". From Rfam's summary of the family: Transfer RNA (tRNA) molecules are approximately 80 nucleotides in length. Their secondary structure includes four short double-helical elements and three loops (D, anti-codon, and T loops). RNAcentral also lists the same sequence under 1 other name. The record is from RNAcentral. Lineage: Bacteria; Pseudomonadati; Pseudomonadota.